GCCGUAACAUGGUGAUUCUUCGCGGCUUGAUUCUAUAUUUUGUUUGCAGACAAGCAUGUAUCUAUAAUCCCACCACCAGACAAAGCCUAACCUUACCCGCCGUCAAAUCCAACCUCUUUGCGAAAGAAUCAUUUCGUCAGAGUGUACUCUACUUCUUGGGACAUGAUCCUGUUCUUGAUCAAUACAAAGUAGUCUGCACUGUUGUGAGAUCCUCAAAACGUUAUAAGAAGAUAACUUCGGAGCAUUGGGUCUUGGUACUGGAAGCCGGAGGUUCAUGGAAAAGAAUUGAGUUUGAUAAACAUCAUCUUCCUACAAGACCAGGAGGAGUGUGCAUCAAUGGAGUUAUAUAUUAUAUGGCUUCCACUGGCUUGUUUCCCCGAGCCAUUGUCAGUUUUGACGUUAGAUCUGAAGAGUUCAAUAUGUUCCAAGCACCUCGUGUGCUGCCUGAGUUAGGUUGGCCUGUGGGGUUUAUAGAGUAUGCUGGAAAACCAACUAUUGUUGAUCAUAGCCUUCUUAACAGCUUAGGUUUGGUGGACUUAUGGGUCCUUGAAGAUGCUGGAAAAUGGUCGACGAAAUCUCUGGUUUUGAAGCUUUGUCAGAUGCAUUUAGUCGAUAAAGACAUUGAUCUGACGGUGGAAGGUAUUACUCAAAACGGUGAGGUUAUCUUUGCACAUAGACCGUUGAUUUACCCUUCUUACAUUCUCUACUAUGAUCUGCAAAAGAACGAUCUAAGAAAGGUUAGAAUCAGAGGUAUACCGUUACACUGGUUUAAUAAGCCUGAUGCAAGCUUGUAUUCUUUUUUCAAGCAUAUGGAUAAGAGUGAAAGCAUCAUGCAUUUGGAAAUUUAAUUGCCAUUACUUGUUAUUUUUUUCCUUCCAGCCUAAGAUUAUCAUUAUCUAAUUGUUUUGCCUUCAAUAAUACAAUGCAACUAUUAAUUUUAUAAUAUCUUUGUUAUGUUAUCAUGUUGCAAACAAACAAUCGUUAAUCAAAUAUUUCUUAUUUCUUUUGUUUUAAUACUUCUUCCGUUUUCUGUUAAAUAAUUUGUUAGACAUAAAUUUUUGUUCUAAAAUAGAUGAUACUUUCAAAUUUCAAUGCAAUAUGUUGUAUUGAUUCAUGACAUGGUUGUACCCAAAGAAACAGAACAUGUGAUUAAUGGGUUAGAACAUCAGUCGGAGCAUGUUGUCAAGUUUUCACAUUGGGAAAUCCGAUGAGGCCAUAGAGGAACGUUCAAGGCUAUCAAAGGGGACUAUCUAUUACGUUGUAGGAGCACCUUCCCAACAAUCCCAUAUGGUGGUGAAGUUAUGUUGCUGAGUUUUGACUUCAGGUCCGAGAGGGUUUUUUUUUUUUGGUAAAAAGGUCCGAGAGAUUUGAUCAUAUUAAUAGUCCUGAAGCUACAGUAACAAACCUGCAUAUCUAUCUGGUAAACUUCAAAGGGAAGUUAUGGUGCUCAUGUUGCAGCAACGGUGCAGAGAUGUGGGUUAUGGAGAAUGCUGAGAAACAAUAGUGGUCGAAUACUAUUUUUUGCUUGCCUAAUAUCCCGCUCGAGGGGUUAAGGUGUCCUCGCUUUACGGGUGUCACUUUAGGUGGUGAGAUCUUUAUACUCCAACUUAUAUAUGGCCCUAAUGACCCUUUAUAUAUAUGACUACUAUUAUGAUCCGGAACGACGCAGUUUUAGAAGAACUGAAAUCGAAGCUACUACGCCUUGUAGCGAUUCUAUGCUAAUAGUAUGUGUUAUCGAUCAUGUUGUGAAUACAAUGCGUUUGGAAAUAUCCAUUUGAUUCAUUGUUCAUAUCAAGAUGGUAUAAUACAACCCAGCCCCGGCUCAACAUAAAUCGAAACGAACCAAACUGAAUACUCAAAGGCUCAAGAGUCUCAAAAGAAUUCAUGAGAUCAAAGUUGCACAAGUAGUCAUGAUCCUACCCAAAAAAAAAAAAAAUGUCGUCAGGUUAAGGGGGCUAGAGCCUUAUCGACAAUAUAACGAGCGAAUGUGUAGUAUAGAAUGAGAUUCGUUUAUACAAAAUUACUGGUUUAGUAUGACAUUAUUUUUGGUUAAUAAAUCAUAAAUAUCAGUGUAUAUGUUCAGAUUGCCUAGUAGGAUUUGAUUCGUGUUUUGGAAGUGCUUCUCAACUUGCAUACAUUAAUAAAUAUAUUUACUUAGACAAAAUAAAAUUUCAAACUUUCACCAUUUGUGUAUAAAUCAUAAAUAUAUAGCUAAGCUAACUCAUGAAUUACAGAUGAACGAUUUGAGCAAGGCUGAAAUCAAAGGAUACCAGUCCAGACAACGGGUCUAGUAGCUCCUACUUUUGUUUGAAGCUUAUGGAUAAAUGUGAAAGCAUCAUGCACUUGCAAACUUGAAUACCAUUAUUUUUUCUUGUCCCCCUCAUUCAAAGCUAAGAUUAUCAUCUUAUUAUUGUUUUUGCUUAUUUUUAUGUAACUUUAAUUUUACUUCUGCUGCAAAAAAAAAAAAAAAGAAAAAGAAAAAGCAAUUGUUAAAUGUUGUUGUUGACAUAAAAGAAAGAUUGCUAUAAAUAAAAGAUUACCAUAAUCGAAACUAGCAAGCAUCUUGACACCAACAACCAAGAAAAACCCUAGCUCGGACGUGCUAUACAUAGGUUAGAGGUUUAGUGCAAAGAAAAAAACCCUGACGUACGUUUUAGAAAUAAUUAUAGAAAGAGUUGCAGCUUGGCAGCUCCUAUACAGCAUAUGAUGAUUAUGAUUAAGGACUAGGGAUUCAUUAGAACAUAUAAGUUUCCGAAACAGAUAUGUCUAGAACUCUGUUUUCAUCUUUCCCAUGGAAGAAGAGGGCGAUGAUGAGAAGAGGAAGAAAAAGAAAGAGAAGACGAGAAGAUUUGGUCGCUCCUGAAAUUCCUUUGGAUCUCCAGAUCGAGAUUCUGACUAGAUUGCCUGCUAGAUCGCUGAUGAGGUUCAAGUGCGUCUCAAAGCUAUGGUCUUCUCUUAUCCGGUCUCGAUUCUUUAGCAACCGUUAUCAUAAGGUCGCAUCCACACGACCGCGACCACCUCGUCUAUACAUGAGUUUGGUGGACCACCUCAAGUGUAAUUCAAUGGAGAUCUGCCAAAAUCCCCGCGAGACGGUACUGCUAUCAUCAUCGUCUAGUAGUGCAAACUCUUUCGACCAGGCUCUGACAAUGCCAGGGAUAGGAGGCCGUAACAUGGUGAUUCUUCGCGGCUUGAUUCUAUAUUUUGUUUGCAGACAAGCAUGUAUCUAUAAUCCCACCACCAGACAAAGCCUAACCUUACCCGCCGUCAAAUCCAACCUCUUUGCGAAAGAAUCAUUUCGUCAGAGUGUACUCUACUUCUUGGGACAUGAUCCUGUUCUUGAUCAAUACAAAGUAGUCUGCACUGUUGUGAGAUCCUCAAAACGUUAUAAGAAGAUAAC
RNAcentral lists this long non-coding RNA (3397 nucleotides) under Capsella rubella. RNAcentral describes it as "long non-coding RNA (CRUB_LNC001131)". Lineage: Eukaryota; Viridiplantae; Streptophyta; Magnoliopsida; Brassicales; Brassicaceae. The record is from RNAcentral.